UGUAUCGCUGAUGAUAAUCUGGCUCCCUCUACUGACCGCUGUGAGGAGAUCGCCACUGUUACCCAAAAUCUGUCUGAGAUACA
This is a small nucleolar RNA of Acanthochromis polyacanthus (spiny chromis), 83 nucleotides long. NCBI's taxonomy places the organism in Eukaryota, Metazoa, Chordata, Actinopteri, Pomacentridae. The record is from Ensembl.